GACGAACGCUGGCGGCGUGCUUAACACAUGCAAGUCGAACGGUAAGGCCCUUCGGGGUACACGAGUGGCGAACGGGUGAGUAACACGUGGGUGAUCUGCCCUGCACUUCGGGAUAAGUCUGGGAAACUGGGUCUAAUACCGGAUAGGACUCCGGACUGCAUGGUCUGGGGUGGCACGCUUUUGCGGUGUGGGAUGGGCCCGCGGCCUAUCAACUUGUUGGUGGGGUGAUGGCCUACCAAGGCGACGACGGGUAGCCGGGCCGGAGAGGGUGACCGGCCACACUGGGACUGAGAUACGGCCCAGACUCCUACGGGAGGCAGCAGUGGGGAAUAUUGCACAAUGGGCGCAAGCCUGAUGCAGCGACGCCGCGUGAGGGAUGACGGCCUUCGGGUUGUAAACCUCUUUCAGCAUCGACGAAGCGAAAGUGACGGUAGGUGCAGAAGAAGGACCGGCCAACUACGUGCCAGCCGCCGCCGUAA
This 479-nucleotide ribosomal RNA is filed under the name uncultured bacterium. Its description in RNAcentral is "partial 16S ribosomal RNA". It matches the Rfam family "Bacterial small subunit ribosomal RNA", at positions 28 to 523 of the family's 1533-position model. The record is from RNAcentral.